This 253-nucleotide ribosomal RNA is filed under the name uncultured bacterium. RNAcentral's name for it is "partial 16S ribosomal RNA". It matches the Rfam family "Bacterial small subunit ribosomal RNA", at positions 524 to 776 of the family's 1533-position model. The record is from RNAcentral.
UACGAGUGGAGCGAGCGUUGUUCGGAAUCACUGGGCGUAAAGCGUACGCAGGCGGUCAUGAAAGUCAGGAGUGAAAUCCCAGGGCUCAACCCUGGGAUGGCUCUUGAAACUCCAUGACUAGAGUACUGGAGAGGUUGGCGGAAUUCCGAGUGUAGCAGUGAAAUGCGUAGAUAUUCGGAGGAACACCGAUGGCGUAGGCAGCCAACUGGACAGUAACUGACGCUCAGGUACGAAAGCGUGGGGAUCAAACAGG